GGAGUGGCAUGUUAAAGGAACACUUUUUUGUCAGACUCACACUGCAAGGUGAGAACCUGAGGCAAAGAACACUGCCCAGUGUACUGUGGGGUGGGUGUUUGGCUCAUGGUCACAUGCUUGUGGCAUUUCCCCAAAUUAAUGCUUGCUUCCUUUCCCCUUUUUAUUGAAAGGUUUCUUUUCUAUACUCAGACUCAGUGCUUGCCAGAGGGGAAGUAUUGCCUCUUCGAGGUCCCCAAGGGCAGUGUAAUUUUUCCCAGAUUGCUGGUGGGGGACUCAAGCCGCUUCUGGGUUAUAUUGUUAAGAGGGAUCCCUAGACAUUGAACCCAACCCCACCUGGCAGAAGAGUUACAUUUGAAAAAACAGUUACUUCUACUCUAAAGAGCUAAUAGAGAAAACCUGCAUUGCCAGCUGCUUCCUGGCCAACUAGCCACAGGUCGAGCUCUUUCACGUGGACAUCUUGUCUGUUGAGCUAGAGGACUAUGUGAUGGGUUGAGGAGACCAAACUAGCCAGGAAACAUGCAUGAAUCUAAGGAACACCAAAUAUUACAAGAAUCAUAAUAAAAUCAUGGGAGUUGACACUGCUAACUCCCUUGAGCCCCUUUGAAAACCCCAGUGGAAGAGUAAAACUUUUAUUUCAGGAUAAGAGAGAGAGUUCAGUGCAGUGACUUGCUAGCUAACAUUCUGCAUCUAAACUGAAACACAAAAUGGCUACUUCCUCACAGCUGCCCCAAUGUCAGAGAGAUUGUUUGUCUACAGUGCUGAAAAUCUGCUAAAAAAGCAUUGUUCAGAACAAUUUCUGACUUCAGAUCAAAUUCGGCGAGUAGUUUCAGCCAAGCAAAAAAAUUGGAAAUGUCAAAAAGCGUUUCAACAUGUUUGAACUGAACUGUUUAGACAUUUUAUUUUGAAAAUAUAGUUUCGCAUUGACAUUUUGUUUAGAAAAUGUCACCAUUUCAUUUUGACAUGUCAUUUUAAGUUUUUCAUUUCAUAGAGAAAAAACAAAACUUCUGGUUCAGUUUGAAACUAAUUUUUCCUCCCAGAUUUUCAGUUUGGUCACUGAACCAAAAUAUAAAUCAUUGACCCAGCUCUAUACUCCAGUGCUCUGUCCAGUCUGAGUUAUAAAUGGCUCAUGCUGUUGGGGCUUUAUUCAGAUUACACCACUGUUGCACUUAGGCUUUGGCUACACUGACGCUGUGCAGCGCUGCAACUUGCUGCGUUCAGGGGUGUGAAAAAACAUCCCCCUGAGCGCAGCGAGUAUAGCGCCAGUGUAAUCAGUGCCUACAGUGCUGCACGCUCGCUCGCAGCGCUGCAAGCUAAUCCCCUCGGAGAGGUGGAGUACAUACAGUGCUGUGAAGUUCCGAGUGUAGCCAAGCCCUUUGUAGAGGAAGAAGCAAUGAUGUAUCUCUCAUGGAUAUAACCACUCAGCCACUCCCAUCCCUGUUAAAUUCCCAGUCACCACCCAGCACUUACUCCUAUAAAAUACUUUACCCAGAUCCUUAAAGGUGCCUAAAUACCUUGUGGACCUGGGCCCUUGCAACUUCUUGACAUUUAACCCUGACAUCGCUAUCCCACUGAAUUUGCACCUGUAGAUACCCCCAAGUCAUUGUGUGACUUUUAGCCUGUAAAUACCCAGCUAAUCUAUGGCUUCUGAAACUGUAAAUACCCAGUCACUCAAAAAAGAAAAAAAUACUCUUUAUAUCUUGCUCCACCAUGUCUUAUCCUGUAAUCAGGACAUUUUUGCUCUGCCGGUCCCCAGCCAUUCCCAGUUGCUUCCUUGCUAAGGUGCACACAUACAUGUGGCCAGACCAAGGCCAGGACACUAGGUUAUCUCUGAGAACUGCCAUGGGGUGUUUAUUUUGCUCUGGUGAGGCCAUGAGAGAGUACAGGACAAGGUUGGGUUAACCCCUCUGUCCUAGCACAAGACCUUGCACACAGCAGGAACUGCACACAGGGAUACUACCUAUGCUGAAAUCUGCUUAGCUGGGGACAAAUAAAGCUGGGGUUUAAGGUAGACCCCAAGACGACGACUCCUGAGGAGACCCAGUGCUUGGUAAAUGUGACAAACAUGGUCAGUAGGGGACCUUGCAGGCUCCAAUGAUGGAGCAGUGAGGGGGUUGGCAUCAGAAGAAUGGGCAUGCCUGACCCCUGCCUGCUAAGCUAUGGGCAAAUGUUCCUCUCAGCCAGUUCUUCUAGUCCCCUCCCCCACCAUAACACCACUUGCUAUGCGUGUAAUCUGCAGGUUACUAUAGCCCCCCAUAGGGAGCACCAAGGCCAGGGUAGACCAGAACACCAUGUUUAGCAUUUCAUGAAGUCACAUCUGCUUGUGUAUUCCCCUGUCCCCCCCCCCCUUUGUGCUGAGCAGCCUGAAUGCAUCAAAAAGGAGGUGACCCAGAGCUCCCUCCUCUGCACAAAAGGUAAGGGCAUCUCUCCAAAUUCUGUACUGCUGAGACUAGAACCAGCAGGGAGGGCAGCAAAGGGAGGGAAUCUACAGUGUCUCCCUCAGUUCCCAGCUAACAUGAUAUGCUCAGAAUACCCCCACGUAAAACAAACCCUUGGUGUGAACUGGUAGCUAGGACUCUUGCAAAACACUGUGAAUGCCUGUUAUAUUGCACUGCCCCUAAUAUUACAUCCACACUAAGGACCAAGGACAGCCAAAACUCCAUCAAAAUCCACUCCAGCAAAUCCUUCAAAAGGAGCUUGCAAGUGGACAGCAAAAACCACCUGCUGCUUCAGCAGACUGCCCUGCCUGAUGUUCCCUGUAUGUGAAUGGCAAUGGCUGUGUCUAUGGGCAUGGCAACACUGGAAACUUCAAAGCGCUGUCGCAGGAACGCUCCUGGGGCAGUGCUUUGAAGUGCGAGUGUGGUUGUGCGCGAACGCUGGGAGAGAGCUCUCCCAGUGCUCCUGGUAAUCCACCUCCACGUGCUCCCAGCACUUGGAGCCUGUUUACACUAGCGCUUUAAAGCGCUCUGACUUGCUGCGCUCAGGGAGGUGAUUUUUCACACCCCUGAGCCAGCAAGUUAGAGCGCUAUAACAUGUAAGUGUAGUCAAACCCUAUGUGCAGCUCAAAGAUCCCCAGCCCACUGCCCCUCACUGUGGGGCAGCUCCACCCAGUAAUGAACCAUUCUUGAGUUUGCCUCUUUUUUGUUCUUUGGUACAUUCAUUCUUUCUUUGUUUCUUUUGUUCUUUGUUUCAUUCUUUAUUCAUUCUUUCUUUCAUGUAUCCUGUUCCUGUGUUUCCUUCACGGUUUUGAAGGAACUCUUUUUCUUAAGCCUCUUCAGAUCAAUUCUGCACCCAGAAGAGUAGAUUUAUUUUUUUAGCUUUAGAAUCUCUGAGUGGUACAUGAGGCAACCCAUUUUUCCCACUGCUGUCUGUCCAGAGCAAAUGAGUCACUCCAAUGUAAGUUGUCUCCAUGAUGGCAGCAUCAUUUUCAAUCAUCCUGCUCAGAGAAGUAGAUGCAUUUCCAAGUGAAAUUUAUGCCAAUUACAUCCUAUUGCGCUCUUUUUGGUUUUCCUCUUUCCCAGGCAGUGAGGUUUCUGGGUGACAUUAACUGCAAUGCAUUGUGUCUCCAUUGCAGAUACAAUCAUCUGCAGGGAGGAGUCUGUGUGCUGUAGUAGGAGUCAAAAUUGAAUCUGGAUCUGAACUUAAUGUGGAAAAGAGAGGAUAGAGGCAGAUCUGUCAGAAAGGUGUUUGAGAACUGCCACAGUGUUAAAUGCAGGAUGGGAGUGAUUGGGAUUUUAUUGUCAGGAUUAUUUUCCCUUUGUUAUAGACAAUCCUGAGAUACAAGAUCCUCGUGCCCAAAAAGACAUCUGGGUUCAAUCUCUCUCUGCAGACAUUGAAUGCUUCCUGCACAGCAGCCUUGCAGCAAAGUUUGAUCUGCUCCUUUCAGACAAGUCACUUCCCACCAUUGCCCCAGCUCCCUGAAUGACAAGAACCAGCCAACUGGGAAACGGGGGAGAGGAUGGUUUAAAACAGGACUACCGAUUAUAAAUAUUGUUACAAAUCUGGGGCACCCAAGGACUUCCCUGUUGUCACUCUGCUGAACUGCAUAGCCUCUCAGGGCUGCACUAUGACUGUGUGCAUAGGACUUGGCUUCUCCUACCCCAAAAACCUGGGCCUCAAUGACUGGAGUAAAAGGAGAUUCUCCACUAGAUGUUAGCAGUAUAGAGCCUGUGAUACACAACUAAGCAUUUCUGAUUCAUCCAACAAUGCCCUGCAGUGCAUAUAUAUACUAAAUAGCUGGGUACAGUGUUAGUGCUGUUUUAUAAUGGGGAUGAUUCACCUUUACUCCCUGCAGCCCUUUAGCCCUCCCUGGGCUCAGUCGUUAAAUAGUCCCAGCCCUGGUAUGGGGCCAUAUCCCCAGUGCUUCGUCCCUGGAGAUACGACCUUCCUACGGCCGGGUUCAGUCCCAGCAUCUAGCCAGGAGCUCCUUCCUUGCUCCCCCGGUCCCUACUAGCAAAUUGUCUUUGGCUCAGUCCUGGCAGCCAGCCAGGAGCCUCUCGCAGCCCCAGUCCCUUCCCUCACUUAGCUGUCUGUGUGCCUGCUGCUCUUCAGCCAGGCACACACUCCUUUCUUUUCCAGCUCCAAACAGCAAUUAACUGCUGAUCUGUUCUACAGCUCCUUUUAUAUGGCCCUCCUGGCCCCGAUUGGCUGUUCUAGCAGCCCCGCUGAUUGAUUGCUUCCGCGCAACCACUCUAAGCUGCUUGGAGGCUCUCUCCACAGCUCCUUUCCUGGGAUGGGUGUGGCAAACCCUGAGGCCUCCAGCAGGGGGCCUUGGGCCUAGUCCAACCCAUCACAAGCCCCCAGAUAACAAAGUCCAAUAAUUUUGGAUCAUGUCCCUGUACUAUGGUCCUAGUGAAACACUUGAAACAUUAGCUCCCUCACUCUGCAUGGAACUUACUGUGCUUCAUGGCAAAACCCUUUCUGUCUCUAGGUGUUUAUAGAGCACCAGCACCACAGAAACCAGGCACUGUAUUAAGAGGCCUCCACUCAAGCCCUGUCCCUCCAGGGGGCCUUUCGCUACCCUCUCUCUCUUCCAUGUCAUUAAGUUAUCACAGUGCAACAGGUAAAUCAGAAAGAUCUUCACAGGCUAUUCGUGCUCUGGAGCAGAACGUUUCCUCCUCAUUCGUGGUCCAGACUAAUCCAGUCUCUCUCAUUUCAGUUAUGCCAGGACGUGCAAUAGCUCCAGUAUGGCCAUUGUUGAUGGUAAGAUGCUCUCAGGCUUCAUCCCUUCAGAUCAUCCUGGUAGAAGCCUUGUUUAAAGCUUCAGGAUGAUCGUGUGAUGAUGCAGGUGGAAACCAAGAACUGUGUCCCCUUCUACAUGGAGAACAUAAAUUCAAAAAGAAAUUUUUCCCUCUGGUGUUAUAUAUGUCUACAAGUUUUAAACAGAUGCCUUUUGAAAAUUUUUAGUCUCAAGGCCAAAAAUCUUAACAAGACAACUGUAAAGAAACUGAUCAGAUGAACAGGGACUCUCUGGGCUCUCACCUCUGCCAUGCAAGGUCUCUCAGAAGAAUAUCAGUUUAUCUUUCUCAGCUGAGCAAGAACUUCCUGUGUCCAACAUCAAACCAGUUUCAGUGCUGAUCUACGGUUACUAUAAAAGAGCUGUAGGGACAGAAACAAACUCUGCAUCUUUCCACCGAGGAGGCAAGAGGUCAGCAUACUUGUAUCAUGAAUGGAAAAUCACAGCCUAGGUUGGCUGUAAUACACUGGAAGGAUUUGGGGCAAACACGUCUUGUUGAGUGCCGCACAGCCUGUGGUCAGACAUCUCACCCGGAAAGCAGCUGCAAGUCUGCAGCGAUUAGAGCAACAUGACAAACAUGGAAUGUGAACUGAGGAAAGAAGCCAGACAGCUUAUUUCCCUCUGACUAUAGACUCUUAGUAAAUGUUACACUUACAAUCUGAUUGACUGCACGCUGUGACUGUCCAGUGGUAACUUGGCUAGAUUCAACCCUAGUGUUUAUAUCCCCUCCAUGAACUCCCUCCAGAUCUAAAAGACCACACAUGACCGUGGUUCCACACAGACUGAGAACAGUAGUUGGUCAAAGCAUGUAACAUUCCCCAUAAUAAACUUUUCAAAUUCCA
Long non-coding RNA from Malaclemys terrapin pileata, 6075 nucleotides. RefSeq lists it as uncharacterized. The record is from RefSeq and is a predicted model, not a curated record. The transcript is spliced from 6 exons. Lineage: Eukaryota; Metazoa; Chordata; Testudines; Emydidae.